Molecule: long non-coding RNA, 321 nt
Filed under: Capsicum annuum
Lineage: Eukaryota; Viridiplantae; Streptophyta; Magnoliopsida; Solanales; Solanaceae
Description: long non-coding RNA (CANN_LNC010755)
Source: RNAcentral
GGAAAAGAGGGAGGCUUGGGAGCGGCCUAGUGUGAACCGUUCGGAUCAGAUGGUCCGUUUCGACUCCGUCAGUAGAAAAAGGGCGGGGGAAAUCAAUGAUGGUGAAGCGAAGUUGCCGAAAUCGACGAGAAUCAGCAAGAUCAUAAGUGUUUAUAGUACGCAUCUUUAUGUUAUGCUCUGAGUUCAGGAAAGUUAUCGCAUCUUUUCGUUAUACUCUGAGUUCAGGGAAAGGCGCAGCGGGAUCAUAAGUGUUUAUUGUACGCGAUCUUAUCAUUUUUUUUCAAAACGUUAUUUUCAUGACUUGAACUCAUUACUUCCUAA